GAACGCUGGCGGCAUGCCUUACACAUGCAAGUCGAACGGCAGCGGGGGGAGCUUGCUCCCUGACGGCGAGUGGCGGACGGGUGAGUAACACGUAGGAAUCUACCUUAAUUAUAAUAGUUAGUGGGGGAUAACCCGGGGAAACUCGGGCUAAUACCGCAUAAUCUCUUCAAAGCAAAGCGGGGGAUCUUCGGACCUCGUGCUAUGAGAUGAGCCUGCGUCGGAUUAGCUAGUUGGUAGGGUAAUGGCCUACCAAGGCGACGAUCCGUAGCUGGUCUGAGAGGACGAUCAGUCACACUGGGACUGAGACACGGCC
Molecule: ribosomal RNA, 313 nt
Filed under: uncultured Coxiella sp.
Lineage: Bacteria; Pseudomonadati; Pseudomonadota; Gammaproteobacteria; Legionellales; Coxiellaceae
Description: bacterial SSU rRNA
Rfam family: Bacterial small subunit ribosomal RNA
Source: RNAcentral